AAUGCGCGAAAGCGUGACGGAGCAAUGCCGCGUGAUCGAAGAAGGCCUUCGGGUUGUAAAGAUCUGUCAGGGGGGAAAAACAAUGAUGGUACCCCCAGAGGAAGCCACGGCUAACUACGUGCCAGCAGCCGCGGUAAUACGUAGGUGGCGAGCAUUAUUCGGAAUUACUGGGCGUAAAGGGUCCGCAGGGGGUUUGCUAAGUCAGAUGUGAAAUUUCAGUGCUUAACACUGAACGUGCAUUUGAAACUGGUAGACUAGAGUAUGUGAGAGGUGAGCGGAAUUUGUGGUGUAGCGGUGGAGUGCGUAGAUAUCACAAGGAAGGCCAAAGGCGAAAGCAGCUCACUGGCACAAUACUGACCCUCAGGGACGAAGGCUAAGGUAGCGAAAAGGAUU
This 393-nucleotide ribosomal RNA is filed under the name uncultured Gammaproteobacteria bacterium. RNAcentral describes it as "bacterial SSU rRNA". It matches the Rfam family "Bacterial small subunit ribosomal RNA", at positions 370 to 779 of the family's 1533-position model. Lineage: Bacteria; Pseudomonadati; Pseudomonadota; Gammaproteobacteria. The record is from RNAcentral.